Long non-coding RNA from Puntigrus tetrazona (Sumatra barb), 1107 nucleotides. RefSeq lists it as uncharacterized. The transcript has 3 exons. NCBI's taxonomy places the organism in Eukaryota, Metazoa, Chordata, Actinopteri, Cypriniformes, Cyprinidae. The record is from RefSeq and is a predicted model, not a curated record.
GAGAGAGAGAGAGAGAGAGAGAGAGAGAGAGAGAGAGAGACAUUAGCGUACUCCACCCAUAAAGAUGGUCACUGACACUGUCAAAUGUAAUCAGCCAUCAAUAAUUAAACAAUUAAUUAUGAAACUAUAGUGAAAGCAAACUAUGGCCUGGGAAAUAACAUCAAGGUAACUUAUGUAAUUAUAAUUUCUCUUGACUGCAUAUGUUAGCAUGUUUACUAAUAUUUGACUAAUAAUUUUUUCUUUUUCUUCUUUUCCCAUUCUCAGAUAUUAGAUUAUUUUUCAACUUUACUUUGAAACCAUUAACAUAAUGUUUGUCUUCUCUCUUUUGAGUGUUUAUUGCCAUCUAGUCCUAGUUAAGAAUUUAGCUCCAGCCCUAUUAAAGUACUGCUGAAGAAGCUGAACAAGUUUCUUCAGGAUAACUACAAACUUCCAGGCAGAUGUCGACAGGACAAAUAUCUGCAGGAUGCUAAUCCUCAAGGACACUGAUUUGGUUUGUUUCAGCAGCAGAUAAAGAACCACCAGGAACAGGUUGCUGCAUCUUUGUCAUGAACAGAAAGCAGUCAGACUUGGACAGUGGAAGGAGCAGCCGAUCAAAAAUCAGCAGAGCUAUGCUGGUGCCUCUUAGGAGAUUAAUUUGUCCAUAAUUUUCUAUAAUAUCUACUUAAUGUUCUGUAGAGUUUGAAUCGGUCAAUGUUCUGUUUUAUAAAAUUAUACAGUAUAUUUUUAUGGUCAGUAGUUUGGGGUCAGAAUUGUUUGCACUUUUUGUAGCCUUCCCUUCAUCAAGGGUGCAUUGAAUUGAUAAAAAGUGGCAGUAAAAUCUUUUACACUGUUGCACAAAACAUUUUAUUUGAAUCAAAAUUCUGCUCUAUUCUAAGUAUCCUGAAAAAUAUCCAUUUAUUUCAAUAAAUGAUGCAACACAACUGUUUCCAACAUCCUAAAAAUGCUUCUUAAGGAUCAAAACAGCAUGUUUUAGUAAGUUCUGUUGUAUUCUAUUGUAUGCAUUGUAUUUUUGAUAUUCAGCCAGUGUUUGUGGGUCUGGUGGACUCAAGUGUUAGUGGCACUUGGUGCAGUUUUUGGGUUUUUAAUUAAAAAAAGAUGUUAAAAUAA